RNAcentral lists this ribosomal RNA (254 nucleotides) under uncultured bacterium. RNAcentral describes it as "partial 16S ribosomal RNA". It matches the Rfam family "Bacterial small subunit ribosomal RNA", at positions 524 to 777 of the family's 1533-position model. The record is from RNAcentral.
UACGGGGGGGGCAAGCGUUGUUCGGAAUUACUGGGCGUAAAGGGCUCGUAGGCGGCCAACUAAGUCAGACGUGAAAUCCCUCGGCUUAACCGGGGAACUGCGUCUGAUACUGGAUGGCUUGAGGUUGGGAGAGGGAUGCGGAAUUCCAGGUGUAGCGGUGAAAUGCGUAGAUAUCUGGAGGAACACCGGUGGCGAAGGCGGCAUCCUGGACCAAUUCUGACGCUGAGGAGCGAAAGCCAGGGGAGCAAAGCGGG